UACGUAGGUGGCGAGCGUUGUCCGGAUUUACUGGGCGUAAAGGGUGCGUAGGUGGUUUCUUAAGUCAGAGGUAAAAGGCAGUGGCUCAACCAUUGUAUGCAUUGGAAACUGGUAGACUUGAGUGCAGGAGAGGAGAGUGGAAUUCCAUGUGUAGCGGUGAAAUGCGUAGAUAUAUGGAGGAACACCGGUGGCGAAAGCGGCUCUCUGGCCUGUAACUGACACUGAGGCUCGGAAGCGUGGGGAGCAAACAGG
RNAcentral lists this ribosomal RNA (252 nucleotides) under uncultured bacterium. RNAcentral describes it as "partial 16S ribosomal RNA". It matches the Rfam family "Bacterial small subunit ribosomal RNA", at positions 524 to 776 of the family's 1533-position model. The record is from RNAcentral.